UCCGGUUGAUCCCGCCGGACCUGACUGCUAUCGGAUUGAUACUAAGCCAUGCGAGUCAUUGUAGCAAUACAAGGCAUACGGCUCAGUAACGCGUAGUCAACCUAACCUAUGGACGGGAAUAACCUCGGGAAACUGAGAAUAAUGCCCGAUAGAACACUAUACCUGGAAUGGUUUGUGUUCCAAAUGAUUUAUCGCCAUAGGAUGGGACUGCGGCCUAUCAGUUUGUUGGUGAGGUAAUGGCCCACCAAGACUAUUACAGGUACGGGCUCUGAGAGGAGUAGCCCGGAGAUGGGUACUGAGACACGGACCCAGGCCCUAUGGGGCGCAGCAGGCGAGAAAACUUUGCAAUGUGCGAAAGCACGACAAGGUUAAUCCGAGUGAUUUGUGCUAAACGAAUCUUUUGUUAGUCCUAGAAACACUAACGAAUAAGGGGUGGGCAAGUUCUGGUGUCAGCCGCCGCGGUAAAACCAGCACCUCAAGUGGUCAGGAUGGUUAUUGGGCCUAAAGCAUCCGUAGCCGGCUCUGUAAGUUUUCGGUUAAAUCUGUACGCUUAACGUACAGGCUGCCGGGAAUACUGCAGAGCUAGGGAGUGGGAGAGGUAGACGGUACUCGGUAGGAAGUGGUAAAAUGCUUUGAUCCAUCGAUGACCACCUGUGGCGAAGGCGGUCUACCAGAACACGUCCGACGGUGAGGGAUGAAAGCUGGGGGAGCAAACCGGAUUAGAUACCCGGGUAGUCCCAGCUGUAAACUAUGCAAACUCAGUGAUGCAUUGGCUUGUGGCCAAUGCAGUGCUGCAGGGAAGCCGUUAAGUUUGCCGCCUGGGAAGUACGUACGCAAGUAUGAAACUUAAAGGAAUUGGCGGGGGAGCACCACAAGGGGUGAAGCCUGCGGUUCAAUUGGAUUCAACGCCGGA
Molecule: ribosomal RNA, 913 nt
Filed under: uncultured crenarchaeote
Lineage: Archaea; Thermoproteati; Thermoproteota
Description: bacterial SSU rRNA
Rfam family: Archaeal small subunit ribosomal RNA
Source: RNAcentral